RNAcentral lists this non-coding RNA (263 nucleotides) under Alicyclobacillus sp. RNAcentral describes it as "T-box sequence". It matches the Rfam family "T-box leader". Rfam says of the family: Uncharged tRNA acts as the effector for transcription antitermination of genes in the T-box leader family. T-boxes are found upstream of many aminoacyl-tRNA synthetase genes and some amino acid biosynthetic genes usually in Gram-positive bacteria. The record is from RNAcentral. Lineage: Bacteria; Bacillati; Bacillota; Bacilli; Caryophanales; Alicyclobacillaceae.
CAAACGACUUCGACGAAGACGAGUAAGCAUUCACGCGUACGUCGCAGAGAGUCGGCGGCAGGUGCGAGCCGGCACGUAUAGAGUGCUGAAUGGCCUUUUGAGUCGCGCUCCGAACCCAUUCCUGUGGCAGUAGGUGUUGCCGGGAUUGUCUCUCCGUUACCAAGAGACAGGCAUCGAGAGGUUUUGCGCUUCUCUGUGCCGGCAGAGUGAGUCGAGGUGAACCCUUGGCUAAUGAGGGUGGUACCGCGGUCCACGUCCCUUGG